Long non-coding RNA from Brassica napus (rape), 9466 nucleotides. RefSeq lists it as uncharacterized. The transcript is spliced from 6 exons. Lineage: Eukaryota; Viridiplantae; Streptophyta; Magnoliopsida; Brassicales; Brassicaceae. The record is from RefSeq and is a predicted model, not a curated record.
CAGUCAAAGAUAUGCUUUUAAUAAAAUCAAACAAGCAUUUAUAAAAUCGAUUAUGCAUUUAUAAAAUCAUAAAAGGUUUUUAAAACUUUGAUAGUUACAAAAUAAAUAUUAAUAGUCAAGGAUAUGCAAUGAAUGAUUUUAAUUUCGAUUUUAUUGAUGGGUUGACUGAUUUUAGGAGUUCUGGCCGAAAAUGGCACAACAAGGGAUUGAUGGAAUUUUGUUUUGGCCAGAUUAUACACUUAUGUUUAUCACAUCUGGUAAAAUGGCCAAACAAAAGGAUUGAAUCAAAAAGGUUUAAGCUUUCUCUAAUAAUUUUAUGAUUCAUAAGUUUUUAUAAACAAGAUUCAUGUAGAUCUUUAGGUAUUUUGAUAAGUUUAUAAGUUUUUUAGAGAAACAUAGAACCUUUAGAGAAUUUUAAGUUUUAUGGAUUCAAGAUACUUUUAGAAUCAAGUUUCAUAUGGAUCAUAUGGAUCAUAGAAACAAGAUCAAUAUUUUAAAUCCAUAGAUUGUUUAUAAGUUAUGGAUUCAUAUAGAUCCUAGAUUUGUUUCAGACAUAAUGGUGUUCUAUAGAUUUCAAGGUUUUGAUUUGUUUACCUUUUUCACCACAAGAAUCUGAGAGGACCACCGUGAGAGUUGGCCGGAAUUUGAGAGAGAGAGGAGUUUUCCGGCGGAGAGAGAGAGGUGGCCUGGUGGAGAGGAGGCUGAGCGCCGGUGGAGCAAAGGCUGAGCACCGGAGGAGCUGGCCGGAAAGAGGAUCGCCGGCUGAGAGAGAUUUCUCAGGUGGAGAGCACAAUCGUGCUGAUAACGUGUUAGAAAUAUGAGAGAAGUGUUGUUGUGAAAGUUGUGUCUUUCUCAUUAGCUCUCACUAUCAAUAUAUAGUGGAGGUUCCAAGGGUUUACAACAAAGGAGAGUAUCUACACAUUUAUUACAUAUUGACCACAAAUAUCUAGACUUGGUCAAAGCUCAUAAAUGCUCCGGUUGAAUGAGUCUUCAUCUUGACUAGUCUUGGACGGAUGAGACGAACCGGAGACGGGUGUAGACGGACCGGAUAGUCUGGACGGAUGUAAACCUCCUUGAUGGUUAAUGGCAAUCCACAUAUCCAUAUCAUGGAUUUAUAACAUGAAGGAGCUUUUUCGUAUAGAUUUUCAUUGUGGGCUACAUCUUCAAAUGAAUAAUGUGAUGGGUUUUAUCGUUUAUCUUAUGCGUCUCACAUGUUGUUAGGGUUUUCAUAUUCUGUGUUCUUAUGUUUCCAGAGACGACAUCUUGUCUGAAACCUUCUACAUAACGCUUAUCCUCCUCCACUUCCCGGAUGUUAAGUAAUUGUGCUUAGUAAUGUCAUUCAAUCGAAGCAGUUAGUUCUUGCUCAACCAUCCAUCUUCCCUGUCUUCGUUACCCAUUUCAUCCAGUAUUCAUAUGAGCCCGAAUCGAGACUUCAGCAUAAUUCAGUGGCUUACAAUCUUUGUUCCGACUAAACACUCUCUCAGCGUUGAUUAUGGCGAAUUCUCAAGUUUUUCUUUCAGAGUUGAAGGCAGGUUGGUGUAGACAGACUGACAUAUCAUAUCAAAAGGCUCUCUCUCUCUCUCUCUCUCUCUCAUCUUCGCCGGGAAAGAAGAUACCAAAUCGUUAGGGUUUCAUGGCGGAGAGUUUCAGUCUUUGAUAGGAGAAGCUUUCAUCAUCAUCCUAGAUUCUUAUUAAUGGCUAUCAGUUUCAAGUCCUGGAUGGGAGUCUGGUGACUAGGGGCUGAGAACUUUGGAUCUGAAGGUUAGUGAUGCUCCGGCCAUUGUCUUGAUAUCAAAAAAAAAAUGCACAAGUCCAAGGCUUGGUCACGUCUACGACCAUAGGUUAGCAUUUCCUUGUCGUCAUUCUUAAAGUUCGAUAUAUUUCGUCAUGAGUUUUCAUUUCCGUUGAUUUGGAUUGGGUUGGUGAUUUACAUGUGAAGUUCUGGCUGAUGCUGACAAGUCGAAACCGGAGGCGUACUAAGGCUCCUUUGGGGGAAGCUUAUUUUUUCUCGGUAUCCACAUUUGUAUCACUGGUUUCAUAUAUUGUUUACAUGUUUCGUAUUGGCGUGGUGUCCUGUAAAUGGCGAAUUCAUGAAGAUGUGUUAUAUACAGAAGAUAUGAUCCCAAGUUCGUUAUGGGCGUGUGUCAAAUACAAAGUUCUUUGGUCUACGCAGCAGCCCACCAGACGUGGUUUAUUCUGAUGAACUGGUACCGGUUAAUGGUAAAAAACUCUUUCAAUAUCGGAGCUAACAACAUAUACCAGUAAUUCACAUUCAACCUUUUAUAGAUUUAUUCUUUUACUAUAUGCUUAUUAGCCUUUCUUUAUUUCUCGGAAUAUUUACAGUCUAUCAAUUAGUAAAGGAGUUAUUUGACGUUUCUAAAUUUAUAUGAUCAUAUCAAAAAAAAUUGAAAUGAUUUUAUAUCUUCAAGAUCUUUGUUUUCAAAGUUACUCAGUGUUUAACGUCAACUACUGUUUCAAGUCUAUGGUUGAUAUUAACUGUUUUGUUACUUUUUUUUUUUUUUUGUAUUGUUACUACGUUGAUUAUAUUGUGUUGUUAAUAUGUCCAAAUCAUGUUACUCGCUAAGACAUGCAGUUUUGUUUAUGCGUAUUUUCAACCUUCCUCUCUGAGUCUAUCAUAUGAUCGAUUGAUAUUGUGUGAUUUUACUCCAUUAGGUUCAGUUUCUGACAACAAAACUGUGAAAUCCAGUGAGAAAUCUUCCAAGAGAAAGAGAAAGAAUCAGUAAAUAGAAUUAGGCCGCGCCCUAGGGGAAAAUGGCCGCUGAGAUCUGUGAUCACAGAAAAGACUCUCGAUAAUUGCUUGGAGCAUUCAACACUUCUCAGGAAAAAUCAAGAGCUUAUGAUGUAGUUGCAUGCAGGAUCUGUGGUGAUAGAGCUAAGGUGAAUUUUCCAGAGGAGAUGAUCCAUAGCUGCAUAGCACCUCCGAGAAACGUCAUACUGCUAAGACUUAUCUUAAGAAGCCAAUAGCUAAACCAAACAAAAGCUCGACGUUGGUUCAUGCUAUGUGUAAAGAAGCGUGCCUAGGAGACUCUAAGGCUAGAAGCUAUCUCCACCUGAGGGGUUGUCGCCUUGAGGACUUGAAGCGAGGUGUUUUCAGGAAGGCGGACGAUGCACCACGCCUCACACCGCACUGACGCUAUUUCAGACCCAGCGUUCAGCCGCCAACGCAUCUGAGUCGGUACUGCAACAACUCUUUUGACAACAUGGGACAUGACUACUUCGGUGAUGUGAGUUUCGCGGAAGAGAAGUUUCAGAUGUACACCAAACAGUUCGAUUUAACAAGCUCUUUCUCUGUUGGAGACAACAACAUAUACCAGUAUUUCACCUCCUAUCAGGGCAGUGUCUCAUUCUACUACUCGAGUUUGGGUGGAGUGAUCACGAGCCAAAAUCUCUUCAAUGCUAAAUAAUUUGGGAGUUGGAGGCGUUUCCGGCUAGUGGUGGAAUGACCAACGCACAGAGAUUCAUUCUUCGAGCCCCAUUAAACCCAAAAUCACAACAAGUGGUGGCUCAUAAACUGUUGCUUAUGAAGUCUCUCCGUCUUCUUCUAUGACCGUCGGUGUGAGCCAACUCGAUCCUGCUGAGCCCAGAUAGGUGACCCAACUAGCAUUGAGGUAAAGACUUGAACCUAAAGAGACGAAACUCUAAGGAGAGAACCUCACUCUAUUCUUCUUCAAAUCUUUAUCUGUAUUUUUCUUCGUGUUUUUUAUCAAACUACCAUGAACUCAGAAACAUGAAAGAUGUCCACAAACUAGACCGAUGUUUGGGACUACGUAGUACAUACGAUAGAUUGGACACGUUUUCUUACAUGUAAAGAAAAGAGACACGAAAGGGGUUGUGUAUGUAUUCUUCCUCUAGCUAGAUCAUUUUCUUUUUUUUUAACACUUUUUUUUUUAAAACUAGCUAGAUCAUCUUAUUUUCUAAAAAUCUGAGCUAGGCCUAGGCGUUUUUAACUCAACCCGAAGUACUGACCUUAACCCGAACCAGAAAAACCGAAACCGAAUCCGAACUGUUUUACAAAAAUAUUCGAAUGAGACUUAUGAACUUACUACUUUGGACUUUGGUUAUAACCCGUACCGAAAUAGGAUCCGAAGAUAUCCGAAAUUAGUUAAAUAUGUUAAUGUUUUUAUAUAUAUUAAGGUGAUUUAAAUAUUUUAGAGUAUUCAAAAUAUAUUUGUAGUUUGUUUUAUUUGUUAUUUUGAAUUCAUUUUAUUUAAUUUAGAUAGUUUAACUAAUUUUUAAUUAGAUUUGUAAAUAAUUUAUAUAUUUUGAAUUUUUUGGGUCAAUUUUCGAGGUUUUUAAAAAUAUAUUUUUGAACGAUUUUAAACAUUGGAUAAAUCCGAUCUGAACCGAACCCGGAAGGAACCGAACUGAACCCAAUCCGAUAAUUAGUAAAAACCAAAUGGUACUUAUGAGUAUAACACCGAAAAUCCAAAAAUCUGAAAAUCCGAAUCACCCGGACCGAAACCGAACGGACCACCGAACGCCCAGGCCCGAGCAAUGAUUAGAAGUCUUACUCAUCGUGACAAAGUGUAAUCCGGGUUCAUUUAUUCCGCCUGCUAUUUUUCCCUUACAGAAUAACUCUUUCUUUUGCAAGUUUGUUUCUCUUUCAAAACAAAUGGUUUCAUUUUUUGAAUUUCAGAAUUUUAUACGUAGAUACAUAACAAAAAAUAAAAGCUCUCAUAAAUAAUCUUAAAUGUGAUAAAAUGAUUUGCUACAUCACUUUUGGUAUGUUUUUUUUUUUUGAGAAAUAACUUUACUACAUCACUUUUUGGGUAGAAUAAAAUUUUAUUUAAAAAAAAGUCAAGUCAGUAUAAUGACAUAUAAUUACGUAAUAGAGUUUUAUCUUUUAGGCUUAGAUGUCUUUAACCGUAGUUUCAAAGUACUUUCCCUCAAAUUAUUCAUUUAUAAUUCAUUAUUGUUUUUCAAGAGUUACAAACAAUAAAAAAAGUCGAAUCAAUACGAAAGAAUGGAAAUCUACUUUUUGGGUUUGAUGAUGAUUCUAAAGAAAUUUGGUCAACCAAAAAGUUCUAACCAAAGUUCAUAAUCUAUUCAAAUCAGUUUAUGUAGUUGGAUGGUUGUUUGCUGUUCUUCUAAUGCAAUAAUUGCAACUACGUUCUAAUUGUCAAAGCUAUUAAGAAAUCUAAACGUAAGAUUAUAUGUAUUUCAACUUCAUUCAGGGAAAUCCAUUAGAAAAUGAUCCUUUAGUUGAUUCUGUAUAUUAUUAAUUGCUUUGAACUAAAAUCUUGCUUUAAGAUUUAAACUAGAAACUUACUUCAGAUUUAAAAUUAAAUUGUAUUUUAUAGAACCUCAAGAUUGGGGAAUUUGUUUUCCUAAUAGUCCAGCUGAAGAAAUAAGAUGCAUUAACUGCAUCCUAAGUAAUGUACAUAUAUUUACCUUGAGGUAAAAUAUUGGUUAGACUACUUAAGUUAAAAUUCAAAACAAAUUUAUAAGAAGAAGAACAACUGUGAAUAUAUGUCACAUAAUUUCACCAUCAUUAUAAAAUACAUAAGGUUGAAAAACAAUUAUGUACAUAAAUAUAUAAACAAAUGAAAAUAUAAAAUGGACACAAGUUGAAAGAUGAGGAAACAUUAAAAUUAUUAUAAAGAGUGCUACAACAACAAACAAAAACAACUUCAAUACACACAAACAAAUAAUAUUUAACAACCAAUUGUCACAUAUAAUGAAUAUCCUAAUCCACAAUAGACUAUAUAUACAAUAAUAAUUCAAUGAAGAAAUAUUAACUCGCACAAAGAAACAAUACAAAUAUAACAUAAACAAAACAUUUAUAAAUACAACAGACAACCGCUCUGGACGUAGCACGGGCUAUCCACUAGUAUCUAUCUAUCUAUAACAAUAAAGUAGACUUACCUCUUUUUUUCUGCUGCCACAUCACUCUGGAGACGGGGCGUUUUGCGCCACGUUUCAGUCAAUCCCUGAAACUUACAAACUAUACUAUUGAUUUGGACUUUUAAAGCUCUCUAGGUCUAGAUUCGUAUCAGCCCAAACUAAGUCUUUUUUAUUAAAUCUCCGUCUUCUUAGUGUUGCCGUCUCUUCCUUUUCACCUUACCAGAAACAAAAUGUUUCCAUUAGAGUUUAUGGUAUAAAGCUUAAUACAAACAACGAUGCUCUUUUCACCACCUUAUUCCAUCUCAAUCCUGCUUUCAAAUACCCUUAUUAACAGUUUUGAAAGAUUCAUGAUUGGUUUUCUUUACAGUUUUUUACUUUUUUUUUUUUUAAUAUGUAAGCAUGUAUUGGUAAUAGGAAGAUGGGUGAAACUGCUCUCAUGUAUGUGACUGUUAAUUGGGAAGAAGCUUGUGAAUAGAACUCUUUCUCAGGAGGAGAAGAUUCCUCAGGUCAGCUUCGAUCUGGUCUUUGAGAAGGAGUUUGAACUCUCCCACUCCUUGGUGAGAGGAAGUGUCUACUUCAUUGGCUACAAAACGCCCGACCUCGAUGAAUAGGUGGAUUCCUUUUCUUCUGAGGAUUACUCUUCUUCUGACUCAGAAGAGGAGGAGGAAGUGGAGGUCCCUUCAACUGCACUGCCAAUGUAAGUGCUGGAGCUGCUGCUUCGAGUGUUGUCAAGGCUGACUCAAAGCCAAAGGCAAAAGCCUGAAGAAGUGAAUAGUGAAUCAGACGAGGAUGAUGAAGGCUCUGAUGAGAAAGUAGUGAGUCUUUGCAUUUCGUAACGAUCAACGUUGAAUGCCACUUCUGUAAUGUAUAAGGCUGUCAUUCAAUCAGCCUAAUUAAGAAUCUGAAAAUGCUUCUAGGAUUUAAUAUCUCUUUAAGAGACGGCUUAGCUUUUUAAGAUUUUAGUAUAAGAAAGAACAAAUAAGCAAAGGUUUUUUGUUAUUGUGAUUUCAGCCAUGGCUCGGUCAAAGUGUACCGGUUUAUGUUUGUUGUAUUUUGAACAUUUGUUCAGAAUAGGAAGUUUACCAUAUUGUGUUAUACAAAUAUAAAAUAUUUUUGCUCUGAAACAAUAAACUGAAUGUCAUUUUAUAUGGUUUGCUCAUAUAAAUACAGGAGCUCUACUUCAUCAUCAUCGCUUAUGAAGUUACAAAAUUGAAACGUGUUACAAGUAUGAAUUUGAAUUGGCAUCUAAAGCUUAUCUUCCUCGUCUCUGUUUUUAACACCUCCGUGAAGUAGCAUAUUGUCGGCAUCUACCUUCUCCUUAUGGCUUACCGAUCAUAGGGAACUUGCACCAGCUAGGAAAAUUACUACAUCAGUCUCAAUCAUUGUAUUCUCUUUCAAAUCUAUAACUAUAACUCAAUCACAAAUACAGUGAAGUAAUGUUAACCCCGGUCUACCUAAACAAUUGAUAUUUGGUGAAAAAUGUGGGUCAUACAUAUCUCCUGAAUGGUGAUUGUAGAAAUUAAAAAAUAAACUCAAUGGUAAGUAGCAUAGUACACAUUCAUUCAUUAGACAUAUUAAAAAGUGAUGGAUUUAAGUUACAAUUCAUUUGGUGCGUAAGCAAGACCUAGGGCAUCCACGAUUAAAAAGAAUGUGGGACAUCAGCCACCAUGGCUCUCAGUCAAAUACAUAAUCACAAAAAAUCAUUCAGAAAAUUACAUAGAGGAGGAUAGCCCAGAGAAAACAAAAACGUAGCAAAAUACAUGUUGAACUUCUGCCACUAACCAAAUAAACAAUCAUUUGCAGAAAUAGAUAAUAUUGGAACUCAAGUAGUGAAAUCACACGUCCGAAACAAAAAUUAAUACAUAAAAACAUAUCUUUUAACAAAUACAAAUCACGAUCUACCCUUGACAAAUAACAAACACAUUAUCAGUAACUACUAUCAAAUGGAUCGAAAACACAUUGUCAACUCAUUCAAAAACACAAUAUACAAAUCUAGUAUAAUAAUAAAACAAGCUUUUCUCUUUUUUCGCUAUGCCACAUAAGCAAGAUAAGAUAGGACACGUGGCACACGUCUUAAGCAAUCCAAAUAUGUUUUUUUGGCAGUGGAUUCUUAUUGGAAUUUUCUACUCUUUUCAAACAAGGCCUAUUGGUAAUUAGGGAUUGGUUUUAUUUUCCAAUACGUUUCUGCUGUGGACAGACGCUGUGCCUCCAGCUAUUUACUCUAUUAAUCGAAGCAUUUACUUCAUUAAUAUGUUUGACGAAGUCAGCCGUCAAGCUCUUCUCUUCCAACUCGAUACCGUUCCACUAUCCCUUCCAUUGCUUCUGUUGAGAAACGUUUACAGUAAUGAAAUUCAGCCAACGAUGCCCACUACAUCCUCUUUGGUGCCUCUUAACUCCUUAUCAAACUCGCUCAUCAUGUAUAUAUUUAGAAGGGUUUCAGAGGCCCGAAAUGAUAAGAAAGGUCGUGCGCCAAUGGGUGUCUGAUAUGCUUUUGAUUGAUGCUGUUGAUUGAUGGGAAGUCAACGCUAAUCCAAAACGUCGAACAAUGUUCCGGUUUAACUCCUUCAAACGACGCUGAGAGAAGGCUCUCUCUAUGAGCUCAGUGUUUUUGAUGUGACAAGAAGCAGCACCAACUUCAGGUUCCGUGGCAGUCCUUUUGCUAUAAGAUUCAACGAACAAACCAUCGUAUCUUGCUUCAACAAACCCAAUAUCGCUAGAUGCCUGAAUGUUUAACUCCUCAGGGGGCCUGGAUAAUCGUAAAAGCAAGCGGAAGCCUCUGAGAAAUCGAUAGAAAAGAAGGUAAUUGCAGAAGCAUGCAAGAAGGGCCUGCAAGCUUUCCACUGGAGAGACUAUUGGCAGAUUCCAGUGCUCGCGUUGUGUCUUGAGGAGAUUAAUAUUCAUUUGGCAAAGAGGAAGAAGAAGAAAAGAAGCUAUGGGUACAACAGUGAUGUCUGAUAUUCUGCUUGAAGUGUCGAGUCUUGCAAACUUCAUAAUCAAAAGCAUAAACUACAUAAUCAAAAGCGAGGCUUCUUAUUAGAAGGUUCUAUUAAGUACAAAGAUUUAGUAAGAAUAUACAAGAAUUUGGUCCAGUUUUUAGUUAUUUAAAAUGCCUUUUAAAUAAAUGAUCAGUAGUGUUACAAAAAAAAGAAUCAGUUAUCCCAUUUUGUAAUUUCUUAUUGAAACUGAAGGUGAUACCUAUCACGGAUGCGCAUUACCUAGACUAUAAUUCUGAUUGCAAAUCAUAAUUUAUGGAUCAUCAUACUUUUUCUCAUAUUAAUAAUACAGCCAUUGUUUUAAGCUAAAUUUAUAUAGUUCAAUUUCCAGUUUGCAUAUUUGAAUGUUUCAAAAUUUCAAUGCUUCUGAAUUUCUAAUAAGACAUUUAGAAAAGUCGACCAAUCUCAAUAGACAUCACAAUCACCGUGAUUAAAUAAGAUUUGCAUAGGUAAAAAUUGUUAUAAAAUCAUGUCAUCGGACAUCAUUUAUUUAAUGUAAUUUUUUGACAAUAUACAUUUGGUGCAGUCUCAAAUUAUCAACAUGUAGAUGCUUUUUCUCCGUUUAUCUGAUCAGUUUACCAAAGCUUUCCUUGUCUUUUUUUUCAGCA